This 497-nucleotide ribosomal RNA is filed under the name uncultured bacterium. RNAcentral's name for it is "partial 16S ribosomal RNA". It matches the Rfam family "Bacterial small subunit ribosomal RNA", at positions 28 to 507 of the family's 1533-position model. The record is from RNAcentral.
GAUGAACGCUGGCGGCGUGCCUAAUACAUGCAAGUCGAGCGAACGGACGAGAAGCUUGCUCCUCGGAUGUUAGCGGCUGACGGGUGAGUAACAGGCGGAUAACCUACCUAUAAGACAGGGACAACGUCGGGAAAGCGGAGAUAAAACCGGAAAAGAUAUUGAACCGCAAGGUUACAAAGUGAAAUACGGCCGUGCUGUAACCUACAGAGGGAUCCGCGCUGCAUUAGCUCGUUGGGAAGGUAACGGCUUACCAAGGCAACGAUGCAGAGCAGACCUGAGAGGGUGGUCGGCCACCCGGGAAGUGAGAGACGGCCCCGACUCCUGCGGUGGGCCGCGGUCGGGACUCUUCCGCGAUGGAGGAGAGCCUGACGUAGCAACGCCGCGUGAGUGAUGAAGGUCUUCGGAUCGUAAAGCUCUGUUAUUAGGGAAGAUCAUAUGUGUUAGUAACUGUGCACAUCUUGACGGUACCUGAUCAGAAAGCCCCGGCUAACUACGUG